RNAcentral lists this ribosomal RNA (265 nucleotides) under uncultured bacterium. Its description in RNAcentral is "partial 16S ribosomal RNA". It matches the Rfam family "Bacterial small subunit ribosomal RNA", at positions 57 to 305 of the family's 1533-position model. The record is from RNAcentral.
GCAAGUCGAACGAUGAAGCUCAUUUGAUUUCUUCGGAAUGAAAAUGAAUGGAUUAGUGGCGAACGGGUGAGUAACGCGUGAGUAACCUGCCUUACACAAGGGGAUAGCCUUUGGAAACGAAGAAUAAUACCCUAUAAAACCAUAAAAGCACAUGCAAUUAUGGUCAAAGUAUUAGCGGUGUAAGAUGGACUUGCGUCUGAUUAGCUAGUUGGUGAGAUAAAAGCCCACCAAGGCAACGAUCAGUAGCCGGCUUGAGAGAGUGUAC